GAUGAACGCUGGCGGCGUGCCUAAUACAUGCAAGUCGAGCGAACGGACGAGAAGCUUGCUUCUCUGAUUUUAGCGGCGGGCGGGUGAGUAACACGUGUAUAACCUACCUUUAAGACUGGGAUUAAUUCGUGAAAACGGUGCUAAUACCGGCUUAUCUUUUGAACCGCAUGGUUCAAAAGUUAAAGGCGUUCUUGCUUUCACUUAUCGCUGGAUCCGCGCUGCAUUAGCUAGUUGGUAAGGUAACGGCUUACCAAGGCAACGAUGCAUAGCCGACCUGAGAGGGUGAUCGGCCACACUGGAACUGAGACACGGUCCAGACUCCUACGGGAGGCAGCAGUAGGGAAUAUUGCGCAAUGGGCGAAAGCCUGAUGGAGCAACGCCGCGUGAGUGAUGAAGGUCUUCGGAUCGUAAAACUCUUUUAGUAGGGAAGAACAGAUGAGUAAGUAACUCUGCACAUAUUGACGGUACCUAAUCAGAAAGCAACGGCUAACUACGUG
This 497-nucleotide ribosomal RNA is filed under the name uncultured bacterium. RNAcentral describes it as "partial 16S ribosomal RNA". It matches the Rfam family "Bacterial small subunit ribosomal RNA", at positions 28 to 507 of the family's 1533-position model. The record is from RNAcentral.